UACGAAGGGCCCGAGCGUUGUUCGGAAUGACUGGGCGUAAAGGGAGCGUAGGCGGCGUGGCAAGCCAGGUGUGAAAUGCCGGGGCUCAACCCCGGAACUGCAUCCGAUACUGCCGUGCUUUGAGGGGUGGAGAGGCAGCUGGAAUUCACGGUGUAGCAGUGAAAUGCGUGGAAAUCAUGAGGAGCACUCGUGGCGAAAGCGAGCUGCUGGACACCACCUGACGCUCAAGCUCGAAGGCCGGGGGAGCGAAAGGU
Molecule: ribosomal RNA, 254 nt
Filed under: uncultured bacterium
Lineage: Bacteria
Description: partial 16S ribosomal RNA
Rfam family: Bacterial small subunit ribosomal RNA
Source: RNAcentral